AUUUUCCAGAAAUCCCAAGCUAAAAAUAUGACCACGAAAGUGAAGAGAAGGAAACGGAAUCCGACUGACAAAUCUGCUUUUGGGAGGUGACUAGCUGGACAACACUGUACCGAGAAGUAUAUCAUGCGAACAGAAAUUUGCCAUUUUUCAAAAUGUCUUAAAAACAGGAUUAGAUCUUUUCUUACCCUUAAAAACAGUAAAGUUGUAUGAUAAAGAAAAACCCUGGGUAGGGGUCGCGGAACCAGGGGGGAGGGGGGGGGAUUAACCAUUAAUUUAAAGACCAAAACCAUCUAUCACCUUAUUAAAACAUUAAUAUCUAUGUAACUAUAUAACAUAUUGUAAAAUAUGAUUUUCAGUUGAGGCAAUUACAUAGAGAUGUUCACAAAAUCACCCUGGCUGUUCACGAG
Non-coding RNA from Paramuricea clavata, 407 nucleotides. The record is from the annotation of a GenBank genome assembly. Lineage: Eukaryota; Metazoa; Cnidaria; Anthozoa; Malacalcyonacea; Plexauridae.